GACGAACGCUGGCGGCGUGCUUAACACAUGCAAGUCGAACGGAAAGGCCCUGCUUUUGUGGGGUGCUCGAGUGGCGAACGGGUGAGUAACACGUGAGUAACCUGCCCUUGACUUUGGGAUAACUUCAGGAAACUGGGGCUAAUACCGGCUAGGAGCUCCUGCUGCAUGGUGGGGGUUGGAAAGUUUCGGCGGUUGGGGAUGGACUCGCGGCUUAUCAGCUUGUUGGUUGGGUAGUGGCUUACCAAGGCUUUGACGGGUAGCCGGCCUGAGAGGGUGACCGGCCACAUUGGGACUGAGAUACGGCCCAGACUCCUCCGGGAGGCAGCAGUGGGGAAUAGUGCACAAUGGGCGGAAGCCUGAUGCAGCAACGCCGCGUGCGGGAUGACGGCCUUCGGGUUGUAAACCGCUUUCGCCUGUGACGAAGCGUGAGUGACGGUAAUGGGUAAAGAAGCACCGGCUAACUACGUG
This 468-nucleotide ribosomal RNA is filed under the name uncultured bacterium. RNAcentral's name for it is "partial 16S ribosomal RNA". It matches the Rfam family "Bacterial small subunit ribosomal RNA", at positions 28 to 507 of the family's 1533-position model. The record is from RNAcentral.